RNAcentral lists this ribosomal RNA (253 nucleotides) under uncultured bacterium. Its description in RNAcentral is "partial 16S ribosomal RNA". It matches the Rfam family "Bacterial small subunit ribosomal RNA", at positions 524 to 776 of the family's 1533-position model. The record is from RNAcentral.
UACGUAGGGGGCAAGCGUUGUCCGGAUUUAUUGGGCGUAAAGAGCGUGUAGGCGGCUUUACAGGUCCGUUGUGAAAACUCGAGGCUCAACCUCGAGACGCCGGUGGAAACCGUAAAGCUAGAGUCCGGAAGAGGAGAGUGGAAUUCCUGGUGUAGCGGUGAAAUGCGCAGAUAUCAGGAGGAACACCGGUGGCGAAGGCGGAUCUCUGGGCCUUACCUGACGCUGAGGCGCGAAAGCUAGGGGAGCGAACAGG